AUUGAACGCUGGCGGCAUGCCUUACACAUGCAAGUCGAACGGUAACAGGUCUUCGGAUGCUGACGAGUGGCGAACGGGUGAGUAAUACAUCGGAACGUGCCUAGUCGUGGGGGAUAACUACACGAAAGAGUGGCUAAUACCGAAUGAGAUCUACGGAUGAAAUCAGGGGAUGGAAAGACCUUGGGAUACGAGAGCGGCCGAUGGCAGAUUAGGUAGUUGGUGGGAUAAAUGCUUACCAAGCCGACGAUCUGUAGCUGGUCCGAGAGGACGAUAAGCCACACUGGGACUGAGACACGGCCCAGACUCCUACGGGAGGCAGCAGUGGGGAAUUUUGGACAAUGGGCGCAAGCCUGAUCCGGCAAUGCCGCGUGCAGGAUGAAGGCCUUCGGGUUGUAAACUGCUUUUGUACGGAACGAAAAGCCCUGGGUUAAUACCCUGGGGUCAUGACGGUACCGUAAGAAUAAGCACCGGCUAACUACGUGCCAGCCGCCGCGGUAA
RNAcentral lists this ribosomal RNA (498 nucleotides) under uncultured bacterium. RNAcentral's name for it is "partial 16S ribosomal RNA". It matches the Rfam family "Bacterial small subunit ribosomal RNA", at positions 30 to 523 of the family's 1533-position model. The record is from RNAcentral.